UGUGUCUGAGCAGCAGCAGGAGGAGGAGGAGGAGGAGGAGGAGGCAGCGGCGAGGUGAGAGGCACAUUUCGGGGUCUAUAUAUACCGGGAGGAGGCAGCUUGUGGCAUUGUCUUGUGAAGUGAGAGCUGCUGCGAAGAUGGUGAGCCGAGUAACUUGCUUUAACUCGCUCUCUCUCUCUCUCUCUCUCUCUCUCCUCUCUCUCUCUCUCUCUCUCUCUCUCUCUCUCUCUCUCUCUCUCUCUCUCAUACUUUUGCUUUCUGUGGUUAUUUUUGGUUCGCCGUGUGCUACUUUCGUUUUUGUUUUCUUUCUGCUCUCUUUCCCUCCUUGUCUCUUUCUCUUUCUCUUUCUGACUUUCCUGUUUUGUUUGCUCUCUUUUCUGUUUUGUGUUUCUCUGUCUGUUUUCUAUCUGUUUUUCUUUGUUCUUUCUGGUGUAUCUGUCUUUUUAAUUAUGAGAUUUUCAGUUUGGAAACGCUUCUAUUUCUUUCUCAUUUCUUCUUCCUGUCCGUCUUUCCAAAUUUUUAUCUUUCCAUCUCUUAUCUUUUUAUCUCUUCCAUGCACAUUCCGCCAUCCACUUCUCUUUUCCAUUUUGUUCUUUCUCCCUUUCCCUUUUUCCCUGUUUUACCUGAUUCUUCUUCCUUUUUAUCUUUCCCCCUCCCUCUCCCUCCCUCCCCGCACCACUAAAGACUUGCAUCUCUCGUGUUUCUACAUCUCAUCAUUACCGCUAGGGAUUCUCUCCCUCCCCAACACCUCCACUGCGUCAUGGCAGGCAUUCUGUAACGCCUCUCCUCACUCUUUUUUUUUUUUCCUUUCUUCUCUCAAUGAACAAACCUGCCAUGCCCCUCUCUCCAACCUGAUCCACUCUCCCUCACUCCCUUACUCUCCCUUCCCCCUGCCCCUCACACCUGGCUCUCCUCACAUUCACUACCUCAUCUCUUUCAUUCCCUCUCUCUUUCAACUCUCAUUUCCUUUCCACUUUCUCCAUGUUACUCCUCCAGCACCAACCCUCAUUCCUCCCUCCCUCCUCGCAGCGCGCGGGCAGCACUGGUCCUCUUGGCGCUGGUGGCGGCGGCGGUCGCCACCCCCGGGCUUUAAGGGCUUCGGGGGGCGGCGGCAAGAAGGGCGGUGGCGGAGGAUCUCGCUACCACUACGUGUACGUGCCCCGUGCACGUGCCCGUGCACCACCAGCACACCAUCAAGUACGUGGGUGGAUAUGGCGGCGGCGGCGGCGGCUAUGGUGGUGGCGGCCAUGGCGGCGGCGGAUAUGGCGGCGGUGGAUUUGGCGGCGGCGGCGGCGGCGGCUAUGGCGGUGGUGGAUUCGGCGGCGGCCCACGGAGGCGGCGGCUAUGGUGGUGGUGGAUUCGGUGGUGGCCAUGGCGGUGGUGGAUUCGGUGGCGGCCAUGGCGGCGGCGGUUAUGGCGGAGGUGGACAUGGCGGCUUCGGCGGCGGUGGAUUUGGCGGAGGCGGCUAUGGUGGUGGCGGUCAUGGCGGCGGCGGCGGCGGCGGCUAUGGCGGCGGUGGACAUGGUGGCUUCGGCGGGCGGUGGACAUGGCGGUUUUGGCGGCGGCGGGCGGCGGGUUAUGACAUUGGCGGCCACGGUGGCCGGUGGCGGUGGAUACGGAGGUGGAGGCAGCUCUUACAGUGGAUACCAUUGAGAGUGCGCGAGAGACUAAGUCAUUCCUCUCACUCCCUCUCCCCUUCCUCUCUUUCUCUACCUCCCUCCGUACCUGCCCCCGCCCCUCCCUUCACCUCCCUGCCCACCCCCCUCCCUCACCUGUUUGUUACCUGCAGUUGCGUGUCUUGUUCUCGUUUCGUUCGUUCCUUUGUUCCGCAUCACGUGAUAUAUGAAUAAAGUAUUUUUAAAGUUUAAGUUUGAAAAA
Scylla paramamosain (green mud crab) is the source of this 1878-nucleotide long non-coding RNA. RefSeq lists it as uncharacterized. The transcript has 2 exons. The record is from RefSeq and is a predicted model, not a curated record. NCBI's taxonomy places the organism in Eukaryota, Metazoa, Arthropoda, Malacostraca, Decapoda, Portunidae.